AUUUAAAUAGUUUAAUAAAAAUAUUGAUUUGUGGAAUCAAAGAUAUGUCAGUCAUUUUAGAUA
Molecule: transfer RNA, 63 nt
Filed under: Dinothenarus chrysocomus
Lineage: Eukaryota; Metazoa; Arthropoda; Insecta; Coleoptera; Staphylinidae
Description: tRNA-His
Source: RNAcentral